RNAcentral lists this ribosomal RNA (406 nucleotides) under uncultured bacterium. Its description in RNAcentral is "partial 16S ribosomal RNA". It matches the Rfam family "Bacterial small subunit ribosomal RNA", at positions 29 to 526 of the family's 1533-position model. The record is from RNAcentral.
AUUGAACGCUGGCGGCAGGCUUAACACAUGCAAGUCGAGCGAGCGGCGGACGGGUGAGUAAUGUCUGGGAAACUGCCUGAUGGAGGGGGAUAACUACUGGAAACGGUAGCUAAUAACGCAUACCAUCAGAUGUGCCCAGAUGGGAUUAGCUAGUAGGUGGGGUAAUGGGUCACCUAGGCGACGAUCCCUAGCUGGUCUGAGAGGAUGACCGGCGACACGGGAACUGAGACGCGGUCCAGACUGCUACGGGAGGCGGCAGUGGGGAAGAUUGCACAGUGGGCGCAAGCCUGAUGCAGCCAUGCCGCGUGUGUGAAGAAGGCCUUCGGGUUGUAAAGCACUGUCAGCGAGGAGGCGUUACUCGCAGAAGAAGCACCGGCUAACUCCGUGCCAGCAGCCGCGGUAAUUC